CGGGUGAGUAAUGCCUAGGAAUCUGCCUGGUAGUGGGGGAUAACGUCCGGAAACGGGCGCUAAUACCGCAUACGUCCUGAGGGAGAAAGUGGGGGAUCUUCGGACCUCACGCUAUCAGAUGAGCCUAGGUCGGAUUAGCUAGUUGGUGGGGUAAAGGCCUACCAAGGCGACGAUCCGUAACUGGUCUGAGAGGAUGAUCAGUCACACUGGAACUGAGACACGGUCCAGACUCCUACGGGAGGCAGCAGUGGGGAAUAUUGGACAAUGGGCGAAAGCCUGAUCCAGCCAUGCCGCGUGUGUGAAGAAGGUCUUCGGAUUGUAAAGCACUUUAAGUUGGGAGGAAGGGCAGUAAGUUAAUACCUUGCUGUUUUGACGUUACCAACAGAAUAAGCACCGGCUAACUUCGUGCCAGCAGCCGCGGUAAUACGAAGGGUGCAAGCGUUAAUCGGAAUUACUGGGCGUAAAGCGCGCGUAGGUGGUUCAGCAAGUUGGAUGUGAAAUCCCCGGGCUCAACCUGGGAACUGCAUCCAAAACUACUGAGCUAGAGUACGGUAGAGGGUGGUGGAAUU
Molecule: ribosomal RNA, 569 nt
Filed under: Pseudomonas aeruginosa
Lineage: Bacteria; Pseudomonadati; Pseudomonadota; Gammaproteobacteria; Pseudomonadales; Pseudomonadaceae
Description: bacterial SSU rRNA
Rfam family: Bacterial small subunit ribosomal RNA
Source: RNAcentral